GCUCCAUGCUACAUCAACAUAUGCAUUGGAGGUAUAUUCUGAGCAAGUAAGGAGCUGCAUAGAAAUAGCUUUAAGUUGUGUAGAGGCUGAUCAAUGCAAAAGGCCGAGCAUUGGAGAAAUCGUUGAUAAGUUAAUUCAGACGGAGACUGCGAUUCACAAAAUGACCCAAUCACCAGGAAAAUCAAUGGAUCAGGUGUGGUCCUUUAUGACACAACAUUUUACUAUGCAUUUCAUCUAUUUCAUUUUCCCCGUCAAAUAAAAUUAAAAGCAUAAUUUAAACAUAUAGCUGGUGCAUCAUGUUGGGAUAUAUUAUGUAGAUGGGCUCCUGCUUGCUGGAUGCAUCUGAAAAGAGAGGAAGAGAGUUGUUAGGUGUCCAUCCCCUCCAGCUCCGAUUCCCCUUUGAACCGAACAAGUUGAUCCCCUGCCAACUUAAUCUAACGAACAACUCGGAUGAGUAUGUCGACUUUAGGUGUGUCCCAAAAAACCCCAAGAGUUUCUUGAAUGGACUGUCACGGCUCCAUGGAAGCAUGCCGCCAAACACCAGUUGCAUAUACAUUGUAACGAUGGAAAAGCACCAGCAACCACCUGCAAACAUGGUCACUCUUGAUGUUAUCCUAGAGAGCUGGGUAGGAUAUAGAUACACGUGUGGGUGGGGUAUGGAUGACUACUUCUCUACGGGGUCCAAAGAGGAUCUGAGCGGCUGUCCGGUGCAUAAGCUAACACUGAAGGCUGUUUGUGAGCCAGCAGUCGAGAUGAUGGCAUCUGAUGUUAGCCAUAUUGUUCUUCUGUGCAAAUUAACCAAUCUUAGCUUCAGAUGAUGCAUAUUUAGUUAUGUGAUAUUUCUUUGUUAUUUUCUUCUCUUGUCAACGGCCUGUUGGUGCUAUUCAUUACCUGACAGCCAAUCAAACCAGGAAUGAAAGUAAGGACUUUUAUUCUCCUACGUACGUGUACGUAUUUCUUAAUUAUUUUCACUGGACUGUAUUAAGAAAACUAUUUGUUUAGGUCAUGUACUGCAGGGAUGGCACUUUGUCGGAAAUACUAUCGAUGUAUGUGCGUCCAACGAAGCCUUGGAUUUUGGCAGCUCAUGGAAGUGGGCAUGUAUCCAUUUGGAACUAUGAGACACAGGAGAGAGUGAUGUCGCUAAGACCUGUAAAGGAGCCAGCACCAUGUGCUUGGGAUCAUUGGAUGCUUUCUGCUAAAUUCAUCGCGCGGGA
This is a long non-coding RNA of Triticum dicoccoides, 1214 nucleotides long. RefSeq lists it as uncharacterized. Lineage: Eukaryota; Viridiplantae; Streptophyta; Magnoliopsida; Poales; Poaceae. The record is from RefSeq and is a predicted model, not a curated record. The transcript is spliced from 3 exons.